GACGAACGCUGGCGGCGUGCUUAACACAUGCAAGUCGAACGGAAAGGCCCUGCUUUCGUGGGGUGCCCGAGUGGCGAACGGGUGAGUAACACGUGAGUAACCUGCCCUUGACUUUGGGAUAACUUCACGAAACUGGGGCUAAUACAGGACAGGAGCCCCUGCUGCAUGGUGGGGGGUGGAAAGUUUCGGCGGGUGUGGAUGGACUGGCGGCUUAACAGCUAGUUGGUGGGGGAGUGGCAUACCAAAUCAUUGACCGGUAACCGGCCUGAGAGGGUGAACGGCCACAUUAGGACUAAGGUACGGCGCAGAGGCCAACAGGAGACAACAGUGGGAAAUAUUGCACAAUGGGCGGACGCCUGUGACAAAAGCGCCGCGUGUGGAAAGACCGCCUGUGGGUUGUGAACCGCUUUCGCCUGAGACGAAGCGUUAGUGACGGUAAUGGGUAAAGAAGCACCGGCUAACUACGUG
Molecule: ribosomal RNA, 468 nt
Filed under: uncultured bacterium
Lineage: Bacteria
Description: partial 16S ribosomal RNA
Rfam family: Bacterial small subunit ribosomal RNA
Source: RNAcentral